RNAcentral lists this ribosomal RNA (443 nucleotides) under uncultured bacterium. Its description in RNAcentral is "partial 16S ribosomal RNA". It matches the Rfam family "Bacterial small subunit ribosomal RNA", at positions 338 to 795 of the family's 1533-position model. The record is from RNAcentral.
CCUACGGGUGGCAGCAGUGGGGGAUAUUGGACAAUGGGGGAAACCCUGAUCCAGCGACGCCGCGUGAGUGAAGAAGUAUUUCUGUAUGUAAAGCUCUGUCAGCAGGGAAGAAAGAAGUGACGGUACCUGACCAAGAAGCCCCGGCUAACUACGUGCCAGCAGCCGCGGUAAUACGUAGGGGGCAAGCGUUAUCCGGAAUUACUGGGUGUAAAGGGAGCGUAGACGGUGAUGCAAGUCUGCAGUGAAAGGCGGGGGCCCAACCCCGGGACUGCUCUGGAAACUGGGUAACUUGAGUGCAGGGGAGGUAAGCGGAAUUCGUGGUGUAGCGGUGAAAUGCGUAGAUAUUAGGAAGAACACCAGUGGCGAAGGCGGCUUACUGGACUGUAACUGACGCUGAGGCUCGAAGGCGUGGGGAGCGAACAGGAUUAGAUACCCCAGUAGUC